Molecule: ribosomal RNA, 245 nt
Filed under: uncultured bacterium
Lineage: Bacteria
Description: partial 16S ribosomal RNA
Rfam family: Bacterial small subunit ribosomal RNA
Source: RNAcentral
UACGUAGGGUGCAAGCGUUGUCCGGAAUUAUUGGGCGUAAAGAGCUCGUAGGCGGUCUGUCGCGUCUGCUGUGAAAACUCAGGGCUUAACCCUGAGCUUGCAGUGGGUACGGGCAGACUAGAGUGCGGUAGAGGAGAGUGGAAUUCCCGGUGUAGCAGUGAAAUGCGUAGAGAUCGGGGAGGAACAAUCAGUUGCGGAAGGCGGCUCUCUGGACCAGCACUGACACUGAGGCACGAAAGCGUGGG